CCUACGGGGGGCAGCAGUGGGGAAUAUUGGACAAUGGGGGCAACCCUGAUCCAGCCAUGCCGCGUGUGUGAAGAAGGCCCUCGGGUUGUAAAGCACUUUCAGUGAGGAAGAACGCCUGGUGGUUAAUACCCAUCAGGAAAGACAUCACUCACAGAAGAAGCACCGGCUAACUCCGUGCCAGCAGCCGCGGUAAUACGGAGGGUGCGAGCGUUAAUCGGAAUUACUGGGCGUAAAGCGCGCGUAGGUGGCUUAAUAAGCCGGUUGUGAAAGCCCCGGGCUCAACCUGGGAACGGCAUCCGGAACUGUCAAGCUAGAGUGCAGGAGAGGAAGGUAGAAUUCCCGGUGUAGCGGUGAAAUGCGUAGAGAUCGGGAGGAAUACCAGUGGCGAAGGCGGCCUUCUGGACUGACACUGACACUGAGGUGCGAAAGCGUGGGUAGCAAACAGGAUUAGAUACCCUUGUAGUC
This 465-nucleotide ribosomal RNA is filed under the name Vreelandella stevensii. RNAcentral describes it as "partial 16S ribosomal RNA". It matches the Rfam family "Bacterial small subunit ribosomal RNA", at positions 338 to 795 of the family's 1533-position model. Lineage: Bacteria; Pseudomonadati; Pseudomonadota; Gammaproteobacteria; Oceanospirillales; Halomonadaceae. The record is from RNAcentral.